GAUGAAUGCUGGCGGCGUGCUUAACACAUGCAAGUCGAACGGAAAGGCCCUGCUUUUGUGGGGUUCUCGAGUGGCGAACGGGUGAGUAACACGUGAGUAACCUGCCCUUGACUUUGGGAUAACUUCAGGAAACUGGGGCUAAUACCGGAUAGGAGCUCCUGCAGCAUGGUGGGGGUUGGAAAGUUUCGGCGGUUGGGGAUAGACUCGCGGCUUAUCAGCUUGUUGGUGGGGUAGUGGCUUACCAAGGCUUUGACGGGUAGCCGGCCUGAGAGGGUGACCGGGGACAAUGGGACUGAGAGACGGCCCAGAAUGCAACGGGAGGCAGCAGUGGGGAAUAUGGCACAAUGGGCGGGAGCCUGAUGCAGAGACGCCGCGUGCGGGAUGACGGCUUUCGGGGUGUAAACCGCUUUCGCCUGUGACGAGGCGUGAGUGACGGUAAUGGGUAAAGAAGCACCGGCUAACUACGUG
Molecule: ribosomal RNA, 468 nt
Filed under: uncultured bacterium
Lineage: Bacteria
Description: partial 16S ribosomal RNA
Rfam family: Bacterial small subunit ribosomal RNA
Source: RNAcentral